UACGGGGGGGGUAAGCGUUGUUCGGAAUUACUGGGCGUAAAGGGCGCGUAGGCGGUCAGCACAAGUCAGUUGUGAAAUCUCCGGGCUUAACUCGGAAAGGUCAACUGAUACUGUGCGACUAGAGUGCAGAAGGGGCAACUGGAAUUCUCGGUGUAGCGGUGAAAUGCGUAGAUAUCGAGAGGAACACCUGCGGCGAAGGCGGGUUGCUGGGCUGACACUGACGCUGAUGCGCGAAAGCCAGGGGAGCGAACGGG
This 254-nucleotide ribosomal RNA is filed under the name uncultured bacterium. Its description in RNAcentral is "partial 16S ribosomal RNA". It matches the Rfam family "Bacterial small subunit ribosomal RNA", at positions 524 to 776 of the family's 1533-position model. The record is from RNAcentral.